UCAGGAUGAACGCUAGCUACAGGCUUAACACAUGCAAGUCGAGGGGCAUCAGGAAGAAAGCUUGCUUUCUUUGCUGGCGACCGGCGCACGGGUGAGUAACACGUAUCCAACCUGCCCUUUACUCGGGGAUAGCCUUUCGAAAGAAAGAUUAAUACCCGAUAGCAUAAUGAUUCCGCAUGGUUUCAUUAUUAAAGGAUUCCGGUAAAGGAUGGGGAUGCGUUCCAUUAGGUUGUUGGUGAGGUAACGGCCCACCAAGCCUUCGAUGGAUAGGGGUUCUGAGAGGAAGGUCCCCCACAUUGGAACUGAGACACGGUCCAAACUCCUACGGGAGGCAGCAGUGAGGAAUAUUGGUCAAUGGGCGCUAGCCUGAACCAGCCAAGUAGCGUGAAGGAUGAAGGCUCUAUGGGUCGUAAACUUCUUUUAUAUAAGAAUAAAGUGCAGUAUGUAUACUGUUUUGUAUGUAUUAUAUGAAUAAGGAUCGGCUAACUCCGUGCCAGCAGCCGCGGUAAUACGGAGGAUCCGAGCGUUAUCCGGAUUUAUUGGGUUUAAAGGGAGCGUAGGUGGACUGGUAAGUCAGUUGUGAAAGUUUGCGGCUCAACCGUAAAAUUGCAGUUGAUACUGUCAGUCUUGAGUACAGUAGAGGUGGGCGGAAUUCGUGGUGUAGCGGUGAAAUGCUUAGAUAUCACGAAGAACUCCGAUUGCGAAGGCAGCUCACUGGACUGCAACUGACACUGAUGCUCGAAAGUGUGGGUAUCAAACAGGAUUAGAUACCCUGGUAGUCCACACAGUAAACGAUGAAUACUCGCUGUUUGCGAUAUACAGUAAGCGGCCAAGCGAAAGCAUUAAGUAUUCCACCUGGGGAGUACGCCGGCAACGGUGAAACUCAAAGGAAUUGACGGGGGCCCGCACAAGCGGAGGAACAUGUGGUUUAAUUCGAUGAUACGCGAGGAACCUUACCCGGGCUUAAAUUGCAGUGGAAUGAUGUGGAAACAUGUCAGUGAGCAAUCACCGCUGUGAAGGUGCUGCAUGGUUGUCGUCAGCUCGUGCCGUGAGGUGUCGGCUUAAGUGCCAUAACGAGCGCAACCCUUAUCUUUAGUUACUAACAGGUUAUGUUGAGGACUCUAGAGAGACUGCCGUCGUAAGAUGUGAGGAAGGUGGGGAUGACGUCAAAUCAGCACGGCCCUUACGUCCGGGGCUACACACGUGUUACAAUGGGGGGUACAGAAGGCAGCUAGCGGGUGACCGUAUGCUAAUCCCAAAAUCCUCUCUCAGUUCGGAUCGAAGUCUGCAACCCGACUUCGUGAAGCUGGAUUCGCUAGUAAUCGCGCAUCAGCCACGGCGCGGUGAAUACGUUCCCGGGCCUUGUACACACCGCCCGUCAAGCCAUGGGAGCCGGGGGUACCUGAAGUACGUAACCGCAAGGAUCGUCCUAGGGUA
Molecule: ribosomal RNA, 1437 nt
Filed under: uncultured organism
Description: 16S ribosomal RNA
Rfam family: Bacterial small subunit ribosomal RNA
Source: RNAcentral